GGUGUCUUUUCCCACUACAGGAAGUGAAUACCUCCUUGGAAAGUUAAUGGAAGUUGCUCAUAUCCUACAACGAAAAAGAGGGCCCAUGGAAUGUGGAUCCCACAUAUAACCAGUUGGAACAUCACCCUAACUGUGAUGGGCAACUGGGCAACAAGGAGUUAAGGAGCUGUUCUGGGCUCAUCCUGCUCGGCCCCACCACACCUGCAAGAGGUGCACAGGCAGAAAGAGGAAUCAAAAGGGAGCAGAACAGCUCACUUGCAGGCACAACAGGGAAGAGAGCAGACCUGUAACUUGAAGCACCUGAGAGAAGAACUGAGGGAAUGCAGGAUCUCUCCCUACAACAACUGCGGAAAGAUCCUUCCCUGAGGGAAGGGAGGACCUGCUUCAGAGGAGAGAUUUGGAACUAACCUGGCUGGAGGGACAUGGCAUGAGAGAAGGCAGCCGUCACUUCCAGAGGAAGAAAGUUACCAUUCCCUGCCUGGCCAUGAAGAGCCACCAUGUGGUGAACUGACUCCCUUCACGCUUUCCUGUACAGACUGUAAACAGGGACAAUAGAGGGGCAGUAGGAAGUGGCCCAGGAAGGGCAGCCUUAAGGUGCUUCUGGGUGUUGGAUCCUUUUGUUGCUCUCAUAGGGCCCUGGACUGGAGCCCAGUGCAGUGGGAGGGCCUGGGUUCCCCUACCAAAACUCCCUUUGCAGGUUGAAGGACCUAAGCCCUAACCAUUAGGCAAUGGUCCCUAUGAGUGAAGAGCAUAACACCAACCUACUAAACACCCAAGCAACUCAAAAUACCCACAUAUCAAGCAGGUACCUCCAUAUAUACCUAUUAACUAUCACUAAAGUAAAUUUUUAAAAAUUCAUAAAGAGUAUUUAGCUAGGACUUCUCAGCUGGGGAAUGUAUCUAGCAAAAUUGGCACUUACUGUAGAAUGGUGUAAAAUAACUAUUCCAACCACAAGGAGGGAUGAAUUGGGCUUCAUUAUGGAUCUGUACGUUCACUUCCUUUGUUUGUACUAGGAAAUAAUUUUGGCUUGUCCUAAACGUGAUGUCAUAUGGUUCAAAUUCUCCUGUGUACCCAGGAAUAUACCUAAUCAGUCCAAUGGUCCAUCUAGUUCAGUACCCUAUCACUGACAGUAGCCCUUAUGAGAUACUUUGGAUGCUACCACAAUACAAAUAAAUACUGAUUAUAAUAAUUCAUAGGCAAUUAUGAAUAACCUUAUCAGGGUUAUUUCUAAUCCCAAAGAGUGAGUCUUACUCUCAGCCAGUAUGUACAUUUUCCACGUGUACAGAAGAUCACAGAUGUAGUAUAAUAAUAUUUGAAAUGGCCUUUCUUUCUUUUGAAUUGUGCCUGGAACAGUUAGUUAUACAAUGGAAAUAAGUAUUUUGAUAUACUGUAAAAACGAGAGAUGCUCCCCCAUAGUUAUUUUGUUUAUGUGUGAAGAUAA
Molecule: long non-coding RNA, 1441 nt
Organism: Chelonia mydas (Green sea turtle)
Lineage: Eukaryota; Metazoa; Chordata; Testudines; Cheloniidae
Exons: 3
Source: RefSeq, a predicted model, not a curated record